AUGCCUAGGAGGUUCGGCUCCUCCUCGUCUUCCUCCUCGCACUCCUCCUCACGGUCUUCUUCCCACUCCUCCGGCUCUCCGGCGCUGCUCGGCGUCAAGGCCGAGCCCGCGGCAGGGACGCCGCUCGGCCGGCGCACUCGCAGCGCCGGCAUCGUCAUCAAUGAGGGUGGCCGGCGCGCCUCCUCGUCGGCUCCUCCGUGCUUCGUCAAGCCAAAGACGGAGCCAGGGCUCGCGCCGGUGAAAACGGAGCCGGGUCUCCCCGCCGUGAAGACGGAACACGGCGAUGUGGAGCUCGACGAUGAGGCGGCCCUUAAAUUGGCGCGCAAGGACUUCCUGAAGAUGGAGAGGGAGCGCCAGUGCGCCGCCCUGCGGUGA
This 375-nucleotide ribosomal RNA is filed under the name Triticum aestivum (bread wheat). RNAcentral's name for it is "partial small subunit ribosomal RNA". Lineage: Eukaryota; Viridiplantae; Streptophyta; Magnoliopsida; Poales; Poaceae. The record is from RNAcentral.